This 2438-nucleotide long non-coding RNA is filed under the name Arabidopsis thaliana (thale cress). Its description in RNAcentral is "potential natural antisense gene, locus overlaps with AT1G60510 (AT1G60505)". Lineage: Eukaryota; Viridiplantae; Streptophyta; Magnoliopsida; Brassicales; Brassicaceae. The record is from RNAcentral.
CAAAAUAUGAAAAACAUAAACGAGAAAAUCCGAAAGUUCAAAGAAAAACACAAAAGGCCCAACUCCAAAAAAGAAACCCAUCAAAAGCCCAAAAAUACCUGACCCGAACUAACCGAAGCAAAUCAAUCCAUAAACCCGACAUCACGAGAGAAACCAACGAUCAACGAUCUCCGUACCCAGAACUCUGAUCGACAAUGGCCGCCACUGCAUCCUUGGACUCCUUCGGAAGCUUGAUACUGUUCUUCAGCUUCUCUCUCUUGCUCGCCACCGACGGCGACUCCUCUAGCAUCCUCUGAAGACCUCCGCCAGCUCUUGGAUCCACCAUCUCCGCCACAAUCUCCUUCUGAAACUAAUAAUUCACGAGAUUCUUCACUGACAGCUGAAGAUACAGAGCAAGACUGUCCACAAUCCUUCGUAAGACUAUCGUCCAGUAAGAUGCUAUCCUCAUCUUCAUAUCGAAGGCUUGCUGCAGGAGAUGAGCAUGAUACUUCCGUAGGUGAGAGAUCUUCACAAUUCCACCAAAUCCAGUCAACGAGAAGUGCUCAGGCUUUUUCCCAUCGGACAACACAGCAUAAAUGAAGUUUUGUUGUUCAGCAGUCAUCUGAGUCCAAGACGUCAUGUACUCAGGGUUACAUGUGUAAUCAGUCAGCUUCUCCAUUUCAACAAUCUCCAACACUCGCUCCACAGAGUGUUCCUUGAUCUUGGUGAUUAGAUUUCGACCAGCACGUUUGAUGGCAGAUUGGAUCUGUGGGAAGUUUUCAGAAUACUUGGCAAUGACGGAUGAGAGAACAACUUCAAUGUAGUCCCAUAUCUUCUUGAUGAACUCCACGGGCUUGACAUGUAUGGCAUCUUCGUGUUGUGAUAGUAUAGCCAAGAAGGCUGACCUGGGGAUGAAAUUGGGCAGUCCAACACACUUGCAUUCGUCAAGGAUCUUGAUCUCAUUCAUCAAGAACUCGGUCACUUCCUUUGGCUUCUCUUGCAGAUUAUCGGAGAAUUGGCUUAACAUGUCAGCCAAACGAGCAGUACAGUGCAUGUUCUGGUCAUCCGGGAAUUCAGAGAAGUCUCCUUGGACAAGGAUUCUGAAGAGGGACUCCUUGGCAGAACCAAUGAUGUCCAUCAAUGCCAUCAAUGCUUCUCCGGUAGAAGCCAUAACCAUCGGUAGCUUGUUCAACUCCAGGACAGCAGUUUCCAUCUUGUGAUUGAUCUUGCGAACGAUUUCAGGCAAACAGCGGGAAAUCAUCGUUGCUUGGAUAAGCAUUAGCUUCUGAGCUAUAACAGGGAUUCCCACGAUGUCUUCAUCAAUCAAGCUCAGCAUCGGGUGAGUCCUGAAGAGCAACUCUUCUUGCAUUCUAGCUUGUUCAUACGCUCUUCUCCAAUGCGGUUUCUGACACAGACGUAACCUAGACCAAUACUCACAUCAUCCGCAGUUACUUUCUGUAGGAGACCUUCGGGAGCCAUGUCUGCCUUGGUGACAACGGCCAGAGUCCGUUCACAUACGGAUGGAUUCACAGGUGGUGAAGUCGACUGUAGCUGACAGAACAUUGAGGAUUAUUGAUUCUUGUGGCUCGAUGUACUUCAUGAUCAUCCCAGAAAUCUGUUCGUAAAUAUUCUCCGGUUGUCCAUUCACUGGCCUCGAGUUAUACCGGGAAGAUCGACCAUGCACAGAUAGCUUCAGCGAUGUGCUCCUCAUCCGUGGGAACAAUCUUGUCACUGUACUCAAGCCAUAUCUCAGGUACAGGGCUAGAGCUUCGCUGAAGUCGCAUGACAAGAGGAACCCUAGUGCAGAUUCCUUGGCCACGAGGUAGACUGAUUCCUGCCAACGAGUCGAGGACACUUGACUUCCCCGAGGACUGGUCUCCAACCACGACAAUGGUGGGAAGCUGAAUGCCUUCUCUCAUCACAUUGAGGUUCCUUAGACGGUCAACCGUGUCAAGCAACGGCCUAAUCCUAUCGUUAUAUGAAGAUAUAAUCGGUGCUUCGAUGGGAACAACUUCUCUGUUGUCAUGAGGAUUCGCCUGGACAAUUGCAAGAGAAGGAGAAGAGGUUCUAGUGACAACAUGCUUCUUACUACCUCCCAUUUGUGUUCUUUUAGAGAUAAGACAAGAGUAGAAGAUAUAAAAGACAGAAAAGAGAAGUUCUAUGGGUAAGUGAGAUUCUUCUUAGAGAUAUGCAAAGAUAUAUAUAGAGAUAUUAGAAGGGCUUUGUGUAUACGAAGAAUUUACGAAGCAAGUAAAUUGCAUGAAAGGAUGCAAGUAGCGUGCAUGUUGGAAUUGAAAAAAGCUAAUUAAGUCAGUAAUUGCACCUAUAUCUAGCUCGUAGUUGAAACUAAAACGUCUCUCUUAAGAUGUGUAUUUGAAUAUUUUAUUGGUUCCAAUUGGCUGAAUUCUUUUGUGGUGAAGUUUGGAAUUUUGACUAAAGGCGUAACUUGAUAAUUUUCG